GAUCAUGGCUCAGGAUGAACGCUAGCUACAGGCUUAACACAUGCAAGUCGAGGGGAAACGACAUCGAAAGCUUGCUUCCGAUGGGCGUCGACCGGCGCACGGGUGAGUAACGCGUAUCCAACCUGCCCACCACUUGGGGAUAACCUUGCGAAAGUAAGACUAAUACCUGAUGGUAUCUUAAGCACACAUGUAAUUAAGAUUAAAGAUUUAUCGGUGUACGAUGGGGAUGCGUUCCAUUAGGUAGUAGG
Molecule: ribosomal RNA, 248 nt
Filed under: uncultured bacterium
Lineage: Bacteria
Description: partial 16S ribosomal RNA
Rfam family: Bacterial small subunit ribosomal RNA
Source: RNAcentral